GGUCGCGCAGGAUGCGGGUGUCCGGACGUUCGGCAACGGUGUAGCCGGCGGCGAAGUCGCCAAAGGCGAUCGACAUGGCGUCGGCAGCGAUGUCGGGCAUGUCCUCGGCGAUCACGACCGGGUAGCCCAUCAGGCGGGCCGGUUCGCCAGCGGCCAGGCCAUCCGACCACAGGAAGCGGCCGUCCAGGUCCUUCAGCUUGCGCACGGCACCGGCGGUCUUCGAGUUCAUCACGAAGGCACCGUUGGCGCGAUAUUCGGCGCCCAGCGAAUAGACCAGGUCGACGAUGGCAUCGGCCGGGUUGGUGGCGUCAAAGUCACCCGAGGUACCGGUGGCCACGUAACCGACGUUGCCCCAGGUCCAGCUGUCAUUGGCAGCGGUCGGGUGGGUCAGGAUGCCGGUGGGCUUGUCCACACCGUCGCCGUUGAUGAAGGCGGCAGCCUCGGCACGGGCGAACUUGUCGGCGAUACGGCCGGCCAGCCAGGUCUCGAUAUCGAAGGCCGAGUCAUCCAGCAGGCGCUGCGAGGCUUUGGGCAGGGCCGAAAGCUCGUGCAGCGGAAUGGCGAUCCGGUCGAUCGACGGGGUGGAGGUCUCGGUCGAGGACGCGGUCUCCGAGGCCCAGCCCGAGCCCAGGUCCGAAUGGUCGAUCAGCACGUCAUACGAGGUCGCCUCGACAUUCACCACAUUGGCAAUGGCGCGGAUCGACGAGGUGCCUUCCAGCACGCCCUUGAUGGUGUCCGCGGUCUGGGGAUCGACCAGAUAGCCA
This 764-nucleotide ribosomal RNA is filed under the name uncultured Rhodobacterales bacterium. Its description in RNAcentral is "partial 16S ribosomal RNA". Lineage: Bacteria; Pseudomonadati; Pseudomonadota; Alphaproteobacteria; Rhodobacterales. The record is from RNAcentral.